This 279-nucleotide unclassified non-coding RNA is filed under the name plant metagenome. Its description in RNAcentral is "partial contains small subunit ribosomal RNA, internal transcribed spacer 1, and 5.8S ribosomal RNA". The record is from RNAcentral.
UCUCCGUAGGUGAACCAGCGGAGGGAUCAUUAUUGAAUAACCAAGCUGCGAGGGCUGUCUCUGACCCGCAUAGUCCGUUACGUCCGAGUGCCGUCCCCCACCUCCAUCUCACCCCCAUGGGCACGACCGCGUCGGUACCCCUUCUGCUAGUUCGGUGGGCGCCCUACGUUUUCUCACAAAAUUUGUAUGCAGUGUUGAAUAAAUUUUCUGUUUUUGCGGGCACGCAAUCAAUACAACUCACAACAACGGAUCUCUUGUCUCUCGCAUCGUCAAGAAACC